Molecule: transfer RNA, 63 nt
Filed under: Hediste diversicolor
Lineage: Eukaryota; Metazoa; Annelida; Polychaeta; Phyllodocida; Nereididae
Description: tRNA-Met
Source: RNAcentral
GAUAAAAUAAGCUAAAAAAGCUAUCGGGCUCAUACCCCGAAAAUGGAUUUACCCCUUUUAUUA